This 856-nucleotide long non-coding RNA is filed under the name Monodelphis domestica (gray short-tailed opossum). Its description in RNAcentral is "lncRNA (ENSMODG00000033684.2)". The record is from RNAcentral. Lineage: Eukaryota; Metazoa; Chordata; Mammalia; Didelphimorphia; Didelphidae.
AAGUACCACUCAGCCGUUUCAUGUGAUGGCACCAUUUAAUAUGCAGUGGAGAAACAGGCUACCGAGAAGAAGCUAAGGUACCAGAGCUGGUCUUGGAGCCAGGGAAACCCGGGUUCAACUUCUACCUUUGAUAGGAACUGCCUGCGUGACCUUGAGCAAAUAAUUUAAUUUCUUAAAGUUCCUAGACAACUCCAAGAGCAGUUAUCCUGGAUUUGUACUGGCACAGGAAAUUCCUUCUUGGCAGCUCUUUAAUCACAGAUUUGGCCAUUAUUAAUUACUAAUAACCCUAAUGAAAACUAAGAGAAGCGCUACUCUAACAUGGACAGACACGACUUGUUCCGACGGAGAACUCUGGACAAAAACUGAGGCUGGAGUUUGGCGCAAAACAAAGCAACAACAACUGCUAUACCAGGAGAACGUGAACCAUGGAAACAUUUUCCAUCUAUAUCCUAUGAGGCACUUUGAGGCACAUGAGGGAAGAAUAUGGAGGCCUGUCCCAUCCAAUCAGCCCCUUGAAGACCCUAGGACUCAGUCCUUGGGCUGCUCAGGUGAAAGGGCUGUCAACCUGGAAGGGGCAGAACUCUUCCCUUCUCUCUGAAAGAAACCAUUUAAACAAGUGCCUCAAAGCCAAAUAGCAGGAAGCUGCUGUGAAGCAGGAGCAAAAAAGUACUGUGUUCAAGUCUUGCCUUCGAUACAUGGUGACUUCAUGACCCCCAGCACAUCUUUUAAUUUCUCAGUGUUUCAAGCAACUUUUAAGACUAUCAAUUGAAGAACAAAUGCCUGUCUGAACUGGUAGAGGGAAUUCUCUCACUAGCAGUUCCCAAUAUAAAUAAAAACACAAGUCCCCAAACCCUGA